This 556-nucleotide ribosomal RNA is filed under the name Bifidobacterium animalis subsp. lactis. Its description in RNAcentral is "bacterial SSU rRNA". It matches the Rfam family "Bacterial small subunit ribosomal RNA", at positions 155 to 711 of the family's 1533-position model. The record is from RNAcentral. Lineage: Bacteria; Bacillati; Actinomycetota; Actinomycetes; Bifidobacteriales; Bifidobacteriaceae.
AAACGGUGGUAAUACCGGAUGCUCCGCUCCAUCGCAUGGUGGGGUGGGAAAUGCUUUUGCGGCAUGGGAUGGGGUCGCGUCCUAUCAGCUUGUUGGCGGGGUGAUGGCCCACCAAGGCGUUGACGGGUAGCCGGCCUGAGAGGGUGACCGGCCACAUUGGGACUGAGAUACGGCCCAGACUCCUACGGGAGGCAGCAGUGGGGAAUAUUGCACAAUGGGCGCAAGCCUGAUGCAGCGACGCCGCGUGCGGGAUGGAGGCCUUCGGGUUGUAAACCGCUUUUGUUCAAGGGCAAGGCACGGUUUCGGCCGUGUUGAGUGGAUUGUUCGAAUAAGCACCGGCUAACUACGUGCCAGCAGCCGCGGUAAUACGUAGGGUGCGAGCGUUAUCCGGAUUUAUUGGGCGUAAAGGGCUCGUAGGCGGUUCGUCGCGUCCGGUGUGAAAGUCCAUCGCCUAACGGUGGAUCUGCGCCGGGUACGGGCGGGCUGGAGUGCGGUAGGGGAGACUGGAAUUCCCGGUGUAACGGUGGAAUGUGUAGAUAUCGGAAAAAAAACACCA